AACGGAAUGGCUGAGAUUAUAGGCAAUAGAUUGUAAAUCUAUGGACGAAUUUAUUUUCUUUCGUUA
RNAcentral lists this transfer RNA (66 nucleotides) under Chlorotocus crassicornis. RNAcentral describes it as "tRNA-Tyr". It matches the Rfam family "tRNA". From Rfam's summary of the family: Transfer RNA (tRNA) molecules are approximately 80 nucleotides in length. Their secondary structure includes four short double-helical elements and three loops (D, anti-codon, and T loops). Further hydrogen bonds mediate the characteristic L-shaped molecular structure. tRNAs have two regions of fundamental functional importance: the anti-codon, which is responsible for specific mRNA codon recognition, and the 3' end, to which the tRNAs corresponding amino acid is attached (by aminoacyl-tRNA synthetases). tRNAs cope with the degeneracy of the genetic code in two manners: having more than one tRNA (with a specific anti-codon) for a particular amino acid; and 'wobble' base-pairing, i.e. permitting non-standard base-pairing at the 3rd anti-codon position. Lineage: Eukaryota; Metazoa; Arthropoda; Malacostraca; Decapoda; Pandalidae. The record is from RNAcentral.